CCAAACUUGGUCAUUUAGAGGAAGUAAAAGUCGUAACAAGGUCUCCGUAGGUGAACCUGCGGAGGGAUCAUUAACGAGUUAGGGUCUUCUCAGGCCCGACCUCCCAACCCUUUGUCUAUCAUACCUGUGUUGCUUCGGCGGGCCCGUCUUCGGACCGUCGGAGGGUGCGUCACACCGCCCUCUGGCCAGCUGCCCGCCGGUGGCCCAACCUUUAAAACUCUUGAAAAGAAUCGUGUCUUUGUCUGAGUCUUAAUUAAAUUAAAGCAAAACUUUCAACAACGGAUCUCUUGGUUCUGGCAUCGAUGAAGAACGCAGC
This 316-nucleotide unclassified non-coding RNA is filed under the name uncultured fungus. RNAcentral's name for it is "partial contains small subunit ribosomal RNA, internal transcribed spacer 1, and 5.8S ribosomal RNA". The stretch from base 1 to 73 matches the Rfam family "Eukaryotic small subunit ribosomal RNA", at positions 1759 to 1831 of the family's 1831-position model. The record is from RNAcentral. Lineage: Eukaryota; Fungi.